Molecule: ribosomal RNA, 301 nt
Filed under: uncultured bacterium
Lineage: Bacteria
Description: partial 16S ribosomal RNA
Rfam family: Bacterial small subunit ribosomal RNA
Source: RNAcentral
CAGUCGCCGCGGUAAUACCGAGGGUGCAAGCGUUAAUCGGAAUUACUGGGCGUAAAGCGCGCGUAGGUGGUUUGUUAAGUUGGAUGUGAAAUCCCCGGGCUCAACCUGGGAACUGCAUCCAAAACUGGCAAGCUAGAGUAUGGUAGAGGGUGGUGGAAUUUCCUGUGUAGCGGUGAAAUGCGUAGAUAUAGGAAGGAACACCAGUGGCGAAGGCGACCACCUGGACUGAUACUGACACUGAGGUGCGAAAGCGUGGGGAGCAAACAGGAUUAGAUACCCCGGUAGUCCCUGUCUCUUAUAC